This 492-nucleotide ribosomal RNA is filed under the name uncultured bacterium. RNAcentral's name for it is "bacterial SSU rRNA". It matches the Rfam family "Bacterial small subunit ribosomal RNA", at positions 903 to 1397 of the family's 1533-position model. The record is from RNAcentral.
AAAGGAAUUGACGGGAGCCCGCACAAGCAGUGGAGUAUGUGGUUUAAUUCGACGCAACGCGAAAAACCUUACCAAGGAUUGACAUCCCGAGAAGUCGGCGUAAUGGCUGACGUGCCUCUUCGGAGGAAUUCGGUGACAGGUGGUGCAUGGUUGUCGUCAGCUCGUGUCGUGAGAUGUUGGGUUAAGUCCCGCAACGAGCGCAACCCUUACUGUUAGUUGCUACGCAAGAGCACUCUGGCAGGACUGCCGUUGACAAAACGGAGGAAGGUGGGGACGACGUCAAAUCAUCAUGCCCCUUAUAUCUUGGGCUACACACGUACUACAAUGGCGUUAACAAAGGGCAGCGAACCCGCGAGGGGGAGCAAAUCCCAUAAAGAACGCCCCAGUUCGGACUGUAGGCUGCAACUCGCCUACACGAAGUUGGAAUUGCUAGUAAUCGCGAAUCAGCAUGUCGCGGUGAAUACGUUCCCGGGCUUUGUACACACCGCCCGU